AUUGAACGCUGGCGGCAGGCCUAACACAUGCAAGUCGAGCGGAUGAAGGGAGCUUGCUCCUGGAUUCAGCGGCGGACGGGUGAGUAAUGCCUAGGAAUCUGCCUGGUAGUGGGGGAUAACGUCCGGAAACGGGCGCUAAUACCGCAUACGUCCUGAGGGAGAAAGUGGGGGAUCUUCGGACCUCACGCUAUCAGAUGAGCCUAGGUCGGAUUAACUAGUUGGUGGGGUAAAGGCCUACCAAGGCGACGAUCCGUAACUGGUCUGAGAGGAUGAUCAGUCACACUGGAACUGAGACACGGUCCAGACUCCUACGGGAGGCAGCAGUGGGGAAUAUUGGACAAUGGGCGAAAGCCUGAUCCAGCCAUGCCGCGUGUGUGAAGAAGGUCUUCGGAUUGUAAAGCACUUUAAGUUGGGAGGAAGGGUAGUAAGUUAAUACCUUGCUGUUUUGACGUUACCAACAGAAUAAGCACCGGCUAACUUCGUG
Molecule: ribosomal RNA, 484 nt
Filed under: uncultured bacterium
Lineage: Bacteria
Description: partial 16S ribosomal RNA
Rfam family: Bacterial small subunit ribosomal RNA
Source: RNAcentral